CCUACGGGAGGCAGCAGUGGGGAAUAUUGCACAAUGGGCGCAAGCCUGAUGCAGCCAUGCCGCGUGUGUGAAGAAGGCCUUCGGGUUGUAAAGCACUUUCAGCGGGGAGGAAGGCGUUAAGGUUAAUAACCUUGGCGAUUGACGUUACCCGCAGAAGAAGCACCGGCUAACUCCGUGCCAGCAGCCGCGGUAAUACGGAGGGUGCAAGCGUUAAUCGGAAUUACUGGGCGUAAAGCGCACGCAGGCGGUCUGUCAAGUCGGAUGUGAAAUCCCCGGGCUCAUCCUGGGAACUGCAUUCGAAACUGGCAGGCUAGAGUCUUGUAGAGGGGGGUAGAAUUCCAGGUGUAGCGGUGAAAUGCGUAGAGAUCUGGAGGAAUACCGGUGGCGAAGGCGGCCCCCUGGACAAAGACUGACGCUCAGGUGCGAAAGCGUGGGGAGCAAACAGGAUUAGAUACCCGUGUAGUC
RNAcentral lists this ribosomal RNA (465 nucleotides) under uncultured Klebsiella sp. RNAcentral describes it as "bacterial SSU rRNA". It matches the Rfam family "Bacterial small subunit ribosomal RNA", at positions 338 to 795 of the family's 1533-position model. Lineage: Bacteria; Pseudomonadati; Pseudomonadota; Gammaproteobacteria; Enterobacterales; Enterobacteriaceae. The record is from RNAcentral.